AGGACGCUAAAGACAAUUUUGAACAACCUAGACCACUUCAGGGUAUUCAAAAGUUAAUAUAUGUACACAAACACAGAAAAUCUACCAUAUAUGUGUAAUGCAAUUUUUUGCCGAGGAUGUUCGGGUGAACACCCUCACCUCCACUUAAAUCCGCCCCUGUGCGUUGCUGAUAACUGAGAUUAUAAGGAUAAGAAUCAAUCCAAGUCAAUUAUUAUUUCAUCACUUGCCUUCAAUGUGAUUCUUUGCUUAUAUACUUUACUCUGUGGCAUAAAUAGUUUGGAAUGGACUUCCUCCACUAUCUCAAUGUGUUAUGAAUGCUAGCAUUGCAGGAAUGAAGUUCACCUAUAGGAUAAAGUAUGGAUCGAUUAGAAUUUGGUUUUUAAAAAAAAAAAGUAACGUCUCUUGUUGAUCAAGGAUUGCAUGAUCCUACCGCCACCAACUGUACAGGGCCAGUGGUUGGGGUGACCGCCAAAGAUUUUUGGUCCAGAUGGUCAAACAAAUCAGUGCAAGUUUAGUUCGUUGUCAAUUCUAUGUACACAUACAACUCUCAGCAAUUGAUUCAACUUUUCUCAAGGUAAGCAAACAGCUACAAGGUAUUGGUAAUUACCAUUUUGGAGCGUAUAGACUGGUUAGUCUUGUCUUGAUGGAAGAAUUUAGUUAGGUUGGAGUUAGGAUGUGUCAUCUUUGACAAAAAGAUACAAGACCAGAUGUCUAUGGCACCAAAAGGAAGGAAAACUGCUACUACAAAUGGUUAUCGCCAAGUAUGGAGAUACUUUUAAAUCUUUGUGCAUUGGUUCCAAGAAGAAAUUAAGUAGCAGGAUGAGCUAAUUGCUCCAGAACAAUAAUUAUGUUCAGUAAGUUAAGAUUGACCAGGCUAUAUAUCGGGUGAGAGAAGUCGCCAACAUACACUCAAGUAUGUAGCACUCUAUAUUCUAGAGACUCUUAGACUUGACAUCAUCUUUCACAACAUAAAUGAAAUGAUUAUUUCUCUAAAACUUAAAAGGUCUUACCUAGGCAGUAUGGACAUAAGGCAGUCACAAAGAUACUACUCUUAAAAGGGUACAAAGGAUGAGCCGUCUAAAAAUUUUGAAAACAAGGAGUUGCAAAGAUGAAUAAUAUUUGAAUUUACGUGUGUAAAACAGUUAACUCUAGAAGUUAGGAGACUUUGUCUUGAAGUUGUGGUUGGGUACCAAAGACGCGCAUAGUUCUUUUCUUAUUUUCCUUGAGUAGCCGAGUGCUUGAACAUAUAGUAUCAGUUUCCAUGGGUUUUAUUUAAAUGGUUUGAGAUUCUUCUGUCUUGUAGGAUAGCUGGUUAGAUUUGUACAUGUUAAGUGAAUUCUCUCCGCUGUUGUAAUUGAAAUAAAUAAAACUGAAAUAGCGUCAAAAAAUUAUAAAGUAGGUGCUAUAACAUAUUGAUGUUUUGUUUGUAGGGUAGAUGGUAAUUGUUUGGGACAGUAGGUGGCCUUGGUUCGAGGAAGCAUUUCAUAUGAUUCGUGAAUUUGUAGUUUGAGUAUUAUUUCAGAUAUUGCGACCUAUUAUUUCAAUUAUACACACGGCUGCCCUCUACUAAAGAGUUCAACUAUAUUUGAUUUUAUAAGAAGCUAGACAAAAGACUAUCAACUCUUGGCAAGGUCAUGAUAAUUGAUUGUAGAACAUAUUCGUAACUGCUUUGUGUUGCAGUAACCAUCAAAUAUGUGAUAAGGUUUGAACUUCGAAGUUGA
Molecule: long non-coding RNA, 1721 nt
Organism: Lycium ferocissimum
Lineage: Eukaryota; Viridiplantae; Streptophyta; Magnoliopsida; Solanales; Solanaceae
Exons: 5
Source: RefSeq, a predicted model, not a curated record